CAGCAGCCGCGGGAAUACGGAGGGAGCUAGCGUUGUUCGGAAUUACUGGGCGUAAAGCGCACGUAGGCGGCUAUUCAAGUCAGGGGUGAAAGCCCGGGGCUCAACCCCGGAACUGCCUUUGAAACUAGAUAGCUUGAAUCUUGGAGAGGCGAGUGGAAUUCCGAGUGUAGAGGUGAAAUUCGUAGAUAUUCGGAAGAACACCAGUGGCGAAGGCGACUCGCUGGACAAGUAUUGACGCUGAGGUGCGAAAGCGUGGGGAGCAAACAGGAUUAGAUACCCGCGUAGUCCCUGUCUCUUAUAC
This 301-nucleotide ribosomal RNA is filed under the name uncultured bacterium. Its description in RNAcentral is "partial 16S ribosomal RNA". It matches the Rfam family "Bacterial small subunit ribosomal RNA", at positions 509 to 807 of the family's 1533-position model. The record is from RNAcentral.